GACGGGGGGGACAAGCGUUAUUCUUCAUGACUGGGCGUAAAGGGUGUGUAGGCUGUCUAUUAAGUUAAAAUUAAAAGCCCAAAGUCUAACUUUGGAAAAGGUUUUAAAACUAAUGGACUGGAGUGUCUCAGAGGAUAGUAGAAUUUUUAGAGGAGUGAUGAAAUAUGAAGAUACUAAAAGGAACACCAAAGGCGAAGGCAACUAUCUGGGAGAACACUGACGCUGAAACACGAAAGUAUGGGGAGCAAACAGG
This 253-nucleotide ribosomal RNA is filed under the name uncultured organism. Its description in RNAcentral is "partial 16S ribosomal RNA". It matches the Rfam family "Bacterial small subunit ribosomal RNA", at positions 524 to 776 of the family's 1533-position model. The record is from RNAcentral.